RNAcentral lists this ribosomal RNA (292 nucleotides) under uncultured Acidobacteriota bacterium. Its description in RNAcentral is "uncultured Acidobacteria bacterium partial 16S ribosomal RNA". The record is from RNAcentral. Lineage: Bacteria; Pseudomonadati; Acidobacteriota.
GGACUACUGGGGUAUCUAAUCCUGUUUGCUCCCCACGCUUUCGCGCAUCAGCGUCAGAACCGGUCCAGGUAGCCGCCUUCGCCACCGGUGUUCCUCCCAAUAUCUACGCAUUUCACCGCUACAUUGGGAAUUCCGCUACCCCCUCCCGGCCUCAAGCCAGGCAGUUUCAAAGGCAGUUCCUCAGUUGAGCCGAGGGAUUUCACCUUUGACUUACCAAGCCGCCUACGCGCCCUUUACGCCCAAUAAUUCCGAAUAACGCUCGCCCCCUCCGUAUUACCGCGGCUGCUGGCAC